Molecule: long non-coding RNA, 442 nt
Organism: Carassius carassius (crucian carp)
Lineage: Eukaryota; Metazoa; Chordata; Actinopteri; Cypriniformes; Cyprinidae
Exons: 3
Source: RefSeq, a predicted model, not a curated record
UUUUGAUGGCUAUUAUGUUUCACCCAUGCUUCUAGUUUGGGAAAUACAUCAACAUAGAAAAGAAAACUGGUCUUCAAGCCAUCCAUCCCUCAUGUGGUUAUGAGUUGUUUGCGAAACAUUCAUAAAAAGGUUGACCAUCAAAUGACUGGGGUGUCAUGACCGUUGUGGAAUGAUAGUUAUAAGGAAAUGUUGGGAGGAAUGGGGUCAGGAAAUGACGCAAACCGAACUCGAACUUUUGUCACCUGUAAGAGGACAAUGGUUCCUGUCAGACUUGUCAGUGCAUGCACACUUACCAAUACAAUUUAUGUUUUAACCCCCAUAUACUCUUAAGAUUUACUGACUUUGUUUGUACUGCCACAGAUUCAAACAAUUUCUGUUAAAUAAUGAUCAUUUUGAAAUUAACAACUUAUUUUCCCAAUCAGGUUAAUUAAAGGUUUAUUUU